GAUUUCUGGUUGGAUGUGUUUGGCCCGCCAUGGUUUCAUGUGUGAGUGCCUCGACUCAUCUGCCAUCCUUCUAGACACCCUCGACUCUCUUCAUUGAGGGGCCGAGGCGAUCUAGAUCUUUUACUUUGAAAAAAUUAGAGUGUUUCAAGCAGGCGCAUUGCUAUGAAUACAUUAGCAUGGAAUAAUAAUUUAGGACUUCGGUUCUAUUUUGUUGGUUUCUAGAGCUGAAGUAAUGAUUGAUAGGGAUAGUUGGGGGUGCUAGUAUUCAGUGGCCAGAGGUGAAAUUCUCGGAUUCCCUGAAGACUAACUUAUGCGAAAGCAUU
This 323-nucleotide ribosomal RNA is filed under the name uncultured Sandonidae. RNAcentral's name for it is "bacterial SSU rRNA". The stretch from base 110 to 323 matches the Rfam family "Eukaryotic small subunit ribosomal RNA", at positions 741 to 955 of the family's 1831-position model. The record is from RNAcentral. Lineage: Eukaryota; Cercozoa; Glissomonadida; Viridiraptoridae.